RNAcentral lists this ribosomal RNA (301 nucleotides) under uncultured bacterium. Its description in RNAcentral is "partial 16S ribosomal RNA". It matches the Rfam family "Bacterial small subunit ribosomal RNA", at positions 509 to 807 of the family's 1533-position model. The record is from RNAcentral.
CAGUCGCCGCGGGAAUACAGAGGGUGCGAGCGUUAAUCGGAUUUACUGGGCGUAAAGCGUGCGUAGGCGGCUUCUUAAGUCGGAUGUGAAAUCCCUGAGCUUAACUUAGGAAUUGCAUUCGAUACUGGGAAGCUAGAGUAUGGGAGAGGAUGGUAGAAUUCCAGGUGUAGCGGUGAAAUGCGUAGAGAUCUGGAGGAAUACCGAUGGCGAAGGCAGCCAUCUGGCCUAAUACUGACGCUGAGGUACGAAAGCGUGGGGAGCAAACAGGAUUAGAUACCCCGGUAGUCCCUGUCUCUUAUAC